CAGCCAUUGGUCCAGGGCUGCUGGUGCCCAGGAAACCAGCUGUGCGUGAAGGGGUGGAGCCUAGAGGAGAUAAGAAGUCAAGCUUCAAGAGAGCAGAGGGGGCUGUACUGUACAUUGUGUGAGCACACGUGUCCACUGAAGUCGCUCCAGGGGUCGCCACAGCGGAUCAUCUGCCUGCAUCUUGUCCUAUCACUUGUGUCAUCUUCUGUUACACCAGCUGUCCUCAUGUCCUCCUUCACA
This is a long non-coding RNA of Solea solea (common sole), 240 nucleotides long. RefSeq lists it as uncharacterized. The transcript is spliced from 3 exons. The record is from RefSeq and is a predicted model, not a curated record. NCBI's taxonomy places the organism in Eukaryota, Metazoa, Chordata, Actinopteri, Pleuronectiformes, Soleidae.